CGGGCUGGCAGCCAGCGCCCGUAAGGGGGAGGCCCGCGCUCCCGCCCCCGCCCGCGCGGCCCGGGUCUGCGGGGCUUCGGGCGGACAGGCUCGCGCCGCGUAGUUACAAAUAGACAUGGCAGAGCCCGCAGGACCCGGCCCUCCUGGUGGUCACCUGUCAUCACAAGGAACUCCAUCCCAGCUGGGGGUGUGGGGGUGGACACUCAGUGCUACUUAUUGCUGCUCCGUGCUUCUGGAUUCACUGAUCCUGCCUCCUCUACAGCUGAUAAUGAGAUAAGAGGGAGAGCGAGAGACAGCAAUGGAGAGACACCACUGCACCUUUGUGUCCCUUUGUGUGUGCUCCCGCGUGGUGGCUGAGGGCUCAGAUCCAGGUCUUGGACAUGAUAAAAGUGUGUGUUCUACUGGGGAAGGUAGCUCCAGCUCCUAGAUCUAUACUUGUCAAUGAUUUAUUUCUUCAUUUAUUUUGGGGUAGUAGGGUCUUGUGCACACUUGAGUUCACUGCUUCAGGAAGUAGAAGACACCAACACUGGAGCUUCCCCUGAUGCUAUGGUACUCUCCCAGCAUUGCUGGGGCUCAAACCCUGCCAGUGGUGGUGGUGGUGGUGGUGGUGGUGGUGGUGGUGGUGUGUGUGUGGGGGGGUCGUCCCACAGUGACAGGCCAGACUUUGGACGACGUCGGGGGAUCGCACGUCGCUGGUAUGACACCCCAUCAUAUUCGCAGCCCAGAUUUGGGGAAGCUGGCUGACACCCCCCCAGGGCAAACCAGGGGGCGGGGACCCCAGCACGUCCCAGCAGAAGAGGCCCUGCCCCGUCCACCCCACCCCCACCUUUGCAACCUAGGAGGGUCCAAUGUUCAAAGUCAGAACAUUUUUCUCUCGAAAGUACAAGGGGAGAGGGGUGAGGCACAGGGACAAGGGUCUUUCUCACACCCCGUGGCACCAAACUAAAGAUCCACCAGGGGGUGCCCCUGACUCCCUCUCUAAACUGGCAGGAACUAGCGCCCCCUACAGAGCGCAGGGCCCACCCUCCCUGGCGCACGGACUCAUUCUUCCCUUCCUACUCUCCUCCCCUCUCUUUCCCUUCCCCUCUUUCUUUCCCCUCCUCCCCCUCCUAACUCUAACCCUUACCCUCCUUCUCUCCUCCCCCUUUUCUUAGCUCCUCUCCCUCCACCUCCCCUCUCCCUUCCUACUCCCUUCUCCCCUCCCGCUUCUCUCCCUCCUCUCCUCCCCCCCUCCCUCCUCCUCUUCCUCCCCAUCCAGCUGUGAUAUCUGGAUGCCACCUGGGAUCUGCCUGAACCCCUCAGGAACAGCUGGUGAUGCCUCCUUUUGUCUUUCCAGAACCCUCUGCAGUCAGGGUAGCCCUCAGCUUCGGGGCCUCCAGCAGAGGGGGUGGUCUCCACCCCAGCAGAGAAGGAAGUGAGUCUCCAAAUCCCAGCAGUGACCCCAGUGAGAGCCCUCUACUGACCGGGCUGCACUGACCCCUCUCCCACGGCCAGGCAGGGGGGCGGCUCUGGGGACACUGGCUGAUUCCUCCUAGUCCUGACCCAGAGGUCCUUCCCCUAGGACCCCACUUUCCACAUCUGGGGCCACAGCCUAAGGGUCCCCCCUAUCCUGUUACCUAGGCCACUGGCUCCUGGACACACCUGUCUGUACAGAUGGGACCUGGUGCCUCCACCUCCACCCUAGUCAAGUCACACAGCUUUUUAAAAUUUAUUUUUGGGAGUUGGGCGGUAGCACAGCGGGUUAAGCGCAAAGGGCAAGGACAGACCAGUGUAAGGAUCCCUGUCUGAGCCCCGGCUCCAGCCCCUGGCUCCCCACUUGCAGGGCAGUCACUUCACAGGCAAUGAAGCAGGUCUUUCUCUCCCCCUCUCUGUCUUCCCCUCCUCUCUCCAUUCUUCUCAUAUCCAACAACGACAUCAAUAACAACAACAAUAAUAACUACAACAACAAUAAAAAAAAAAAAGGGCAACAAAAGGGGAAAAUACAUAAAAAAUACAUAAAAACAAAAUGAAAAUGGGCGUAUUGCACCAAAGUAAAAGACUCUGGGGUGGGUGGGUGGGUAGAAUACAGGUCCAUGAAGGAUGAUAAAUGACAUAGUGGGGAUUGUAUUGUUAAAUGGGAAACUGGGGAAUGUUAUGCAUGUACAAACUAUUGUAUUUACUGUUGAAUGUAAAACAUUAAUUCCCCAAUUAAAAAAAAAACACUGAUAAAAAAAAAAGAAAAUGGAGUGGAGGAUGGGGGGUUUGACUAACAGACUGCAGCAGAAGAGGGAAGGGGAGCUGAGGCAGCACUAAGCCAGCUCGGGCCACCUCAGGGCUAAGGUAUGUUUCUAGAACCUCAAGAUCAGGUGAUUCUCUUCUGUGCCCCUCACUUUCACCUCAACCCAACUGUAGU
Molecule: long non-coding RNA, 2392 nt
Organism: Erinaceus europaeus (western European hedgehog)
Lineage: Eukaryota; Metazoa; Chordata; Mammalia; Eulipotyphla; Erinaceidae
Exons: 3
Source: RefSeq, a predicted model, not a curated record